UAAAUUGUUCCCAAUUUGUAUCGAUGGAAAG
Molecule: non-coding RNA, 31 nt
Filed under: Mus musculus (house mouse)
Lineage: Eukaryota; Metazoa; Chordata; Mammalia; Rodentia; Muridae
Source: RNAcentral